GGUGAGAUGGCCGAGCGGUCUAAGGCGCCAGACUAAGGAUCAGUUCCAUUGGAACACACUUAUCACACAUCGUGAUAUCUGGUCCGAAAGGGCGUGGGUUCGAAUCCCACUCUCAUCA
This is a transfer RNA of Plicaturopsis crispa FD-325 SS-3, 118 nucleotides long. It matches the Rfam family "tRNA". From Rfam's summary of the family: Transfer RNA (tRNA) molecules are approximately 80 nucleotides in length. Their secondary structure includes four short double-helical elements and three loops (D, anti-codon, and T loops). NCBI's taxonomy places the organism in Eukaryota, Fungi, Basidiomycota, Agaricomycetes, Amylocorticiales, Amylocorticiaceae. The record is from Rfam.